AUUGAACGCUGGCGGCAGGCCUAACACAUGCAAGUCGAGCGGAUGAAGGGAGCUUGCUCCUGGAUUCAGCGGCGGACGGGUGAGUAAUGCCUAUGAAUCUGCCUGGUAGUGGGGGAUAACGUCCGGAAACGGGCGCUAAUACCGCAUACGUCCUGAGGGAGAAAGUGGGGGAUCUUCGGACCUCACGCUAUCAGAUGAGCCUAGGUCGGAUUAGCUAGUUGGUGGGGUAAAGGCCUACCAAGGCGACGAUCCGUAACUGGUCUGAGAGGAUGAUCAGUCACACGGGAACUGAGACACGGUCCAGACUACUACGGGAGGCAGCAGUGGGGAAUAUUGGACAAUGGGCGAAAGCCUGAUCCAGCCAUGCCGCGUGUGUGAAGAAGGUCUUCGGAUUGUAAAGAACUUUAAGUGGGGAGGAAGGGCAGUAAGUUAAUACCUUGCUGUUUUGACGGUACCAACAGAAUAAGCACCGGCUAACUUCGUG
Molecule: ribosomal RNA, 484 nt
Filed under: uncultured bacterium
Lineage: Bacteria
Description: partial 16S ribosomal RNA
Rfam family: Bacterial small subunit ribosomal RNA
Source: RNAcentral